CAGGGAGACAAACAACGAUUUUGAUGUCUGAGUUAUUUAUUCUUAGGCCAAAAUCCUGUCACCUUAGGUCGAUCGGUACCUCAACUUUGAAGCUAAGAGAGUUCCAGCAAUGGUUGUCUGCUUAGUGGAGAUUUUUAGUUCCUAAACUUUGUCUAGUUCACAACCCAUUAGGGAUGAGACUCCUGGGCCAUUAGCUCAGGUGGUUAGAGCGCACCCCUGAUAAGGGUGAGGUCCCUGGUUCAAGUCCAGGAUGGCCCAUUCGGUGUAGGGGGUUUAGCUCAGUUGGUAGAGCGCCUGCUUUGCAAGCAGGAUGUCAGGAGUUCGAGUCUCCUAACCUCCACUGACUGCAAAGAAUCCCCAUCUCCAAAACCUGGAGUAUGAACUCGUAUGGAUUGUGAUUUAGAUAUGUCCGCUAGAUGACCCUAGCUUCUUGUCAUUUUAAGGCAUGGAAAUGAUUCCAUGAUCUGAUUGAUAGGAU
RNAcentral lists this transfer RNA (478 nucleotides) under uncultured Synechococcus sp. Its description in RNAcentral is "partial 16S-23S ribosomal RNA intergenic spacer". The stretch from base 268 to 340 matches the Rfam family "tRNA". Lineage: Bacteria; Bacillati; Cyanobacteriota; Cyanophyceae; Synechococcales; Synechococcaceae. The record is from RNAcentral.